This 71-nucleotide transfer RNA is filed under the name Procavia capensis (Cape rock hyrax). RNAcentral's name for it is "tRNA-Gly (TCC) (tRNA-Gly-TCC-12-1)". It matches the Rfam family "tRNA". Rfam says of the family: Transfer RNA (tRNA) molecules are approximately 80 nucleotides in length. Their secondary structure includes four short double-helical elements and three loops (D, anti-codon, and T loops). Further hydrogen bonds mediate the characteristic L-shaped molecular structure. tRNAs have two regions of fundamental functional importance: the anti-codon, which is responsible for specific mRNA codon recognition, and the 3' end, to which the tRNAs corresponding amino acid is attached (by aminoacyl-tRNA synthetases). tRNAs cope with the degeneracy of the genetic code in two manners: having more than one tRNA (with a specific anti-codon) for a particular amino acid; and 'wobble' base-pairing, i.e. permitting non-standard base-pairing at the 3rd anti-codon position. Lineage: Eukaryota; Metazoa; Chordata; Mammalia; Hyracoidea; Procaviidae. The record is from RNAcentral.
GCACUGGUCAUUCAGUGGUAGAAUCUUUGCCUUCCAUGCAGGAGAGCUGGGUUUGAUUCCCAGCCAGUGCA